GGGGUUCUGCGAAACCUAAAGGCGCAAUGAAAGUGAAGGCCGCCUCGGGUUGGCCUAGGUAGGAUCCCCGCUCUCUCGGGCGGGGCGCACUACCGGCCCGUCUCGAUCUCGUCGCAGAUGAGGCGGAGCAAGAGCGUACACGUUGGGACCCGAAAGAUGGUGAACUAUGCUUGAGUAGGACGAAGCCAGAGGAAACUCUGGUGGAGGUCCGUAGCGAUUCUGACGUGCAAAUCGAUCGUCAAACUUGGGUAUAGGGGCGAAAGACUAAUCGAACCAUCUAGUAGCUGGUUCCCUCCGAAGUUUCCCUCAGGAUAGCUGGCACUCGAUCGCAGUUUUAUCCGGUAAAGCGAAUGAUUAGAGGCCUUGGGGACGAAACGACCUCAACCUAUUCUCAAACUUUAAAUGGGUAAGAAGUCCGACUCGCUCGACUGGAGCCGGGCAUCGAAUGCGAGAGCCAAGUGGGCCACUUUUGGUAAGCAGAACUGG
This 486-nucleotide ribosomal RNA is filed under the name Carditella cf. similis VLG-2014. RNAcentral's name for it is "eukaryotic LSU rRNA". It matches the Rfam family "Eukaryotic large subunit ribosomal RNA", at positions 695 to 1153 of the family's 3401-position model. The record is from RNAcentral. Lineage: Eukaryota; Metazoa; Mollusca; Bivalvia; Carditida; Condylocardiidae.